UGAAGUGGGUGUGUAACAGAA
RNAcentral lists this non-coding RNA (21 nucleotides) under Caenorhabditis elegans. The record is from RNAcentral. Lineage: Eukaryota; Metazoa; Nematoda; Chromadorea; Rhabditida; Rhabditidae.